AUUGAACGCUGGCGGCAUGCCUUACACAUGCAAGUCGAACGGUAGCAGGUCUUCGGAUGCUGACGAGUGGCGAACGGGUGAGUAAUACAUCGGAACGUGCCUAGUAGUGGGGGAUAACUACUCGAAAGAGUGGCUAAUACCGCAUGAGAUCUACGGAUGAAAGCAGGGGAUCGCAAGACCUUGUGCUACUAGAGCGGCCGAUGGCAGAUUAGGUAGUUGGUGGGAUAAAAGCUUACCAAGCCGACGAUCUGUAGCUGGUCUGAGAGGACGAUCAGCCACACUGGGACGGAGACACGGCCCAGACUCCUACGGGAGGCAGCAGUGGGGAAUUUUGGACAAUGGGCGAAAGCCUGAUCCAGCAAUGCCGCGUGCAGGAUGAAGGCCUUCGGGUUGUAAACUGCUUUUGUACGGAACGAAAAGCCCCGGGUUAAUACCCUGGGGUCAUGACGGUACCGUAAGAAUAAGCACCGGCUAACUACGUGCCAGCAGCCGCCGCCG
This 498-nucleotide ribosomal RNA is filed under the name uncultured bacterium. RNAcentral describes it as "partial 16S ribosomal RNA". It matches the Rfam family "Bacterial small subunit ribosomal RNA", at positions 30 to 523 of the family's 1533-position model. The record is from RNAcentral.